Plodia interpunctella (Indianmeal moth) is the source of this 297-nucleotide long non-coding RNA. RefSeq lists it as uncharacterized. NCBI's taxonomy places the organism in Eukaryota, Metazoa, Arthropoda, Insecta, Lepidoptera, Pyralidae. The transcript is spliced from 3 exons. The record is from RefSeq and is a predicted model, not a curated record.
AAUUUACUACCACAUUUGGCCUAACUUGUAUUAUAAUGGCAUAGUUAAUUCAAAAGUUUAGUGUAUACCUACAGAAUGUUUCUCGUAUCGAAAAUUAGGUGUGCCACACCGAAUAAAGUUGCAAACAUAAAAAAUCUCGACAUAUUGCGAAAUUGAACCAAAUACAAAACGCGGCGCUCCUCUUAACGGCAUAUAUUUUUCAGAAUGCGAAAAUUACCGCGCGUUACGCGACAAAUCAAGAGAUUCAAGACUGGUAUAUGCAUGAUAUAAUGGACCCGUUGCCACUUUUAGAAAGCA